This 372-nucleotide ribosomal RNA is filed under the name uncultured organism. Its description in RNAcentral is "partial 16S ribosomal RNA". It matches the Rfam family "Bacterial small subunit ribosomal RNA", at positions 527 to 896 of the family's 1533-position model. The record is from RNAcentral.
GUAGGUGGCAAGCGUUGUCCGGAAUUAUUGGGCGUAAAGCGCGCGCAGGCGGUUCUUUAAGUCUGAUGUGAAAGCCCACGGGCUCAACCGUGGAGGGUCAUUGGAAACUGGAGAACUUGAGUACAGAAGAGGAAAGCGGAAUUCCACGUGUAGCGGUGAAAUGCGUAGAGAUGUGGAGGAACACCAGUGGCAAAGGCGGCUUUCUGGUCUGUAACUGACGCUGAGGCGCGAAAGCGUGGGGAGCAAACAGGAUUAGAUACCCUGGUAGUCCACGCCGUAAACGAUGAGUGCUAAGUGUUAGGGGGUUUCCGCCCCUUAGUGCUGCAGCUAACGCAUUAAGCACUCCGCCUGGGGAGUACGGCCGCAAGGCUG